RNAcentral lists this ribosomal RNA (519 nucleotides) under Triticum aestivum (bread wheat). RNAcentral describes it as "partial small subunit ribosomal RNA". The record is from RNAcentral. Lineage: Eukaryota; Viridiplantae; Streptophyta; Magnoliopsida; Poales; Poaceae.
AUGGGGAGGCUGCGGAAAGUAUCUCACAAGGAUGUACCACUAGUCCCUUCUCUUGAGAGUGCAGAUUCUCAGCAUGAUAUGUUUGUGCCUAAUGAUUUCGCAGAUGAUUGUUCUAAUCCUAUGUCGUUGGUAUUUAUUUAUUUUUCUUCCCUAGUAUUUAUUGAUUUGAACUAUUUCUUUUCAUUUUUAAAUUUUAUGUGUAUGUUCACUUUAUCUUUUUCUUUUCAGGAAAUCUCUAGUGAUGAUGGAGGGCUUGACAAAGCUCUAUUUGACUUCUAUAUGGACCAUAAAGUUAAAUGUUUGAAGAGGAGGUUAUCAUCUGCUGCAAGAAGAAACGUGAGGCUGAAGCGGUCUACUGAUUUGCCUGUCUGUUCCACUUUCACUAGAAAUUCUGGGAAGUUUUUCUCAGGUGUUGUCGAUGGUUUGCGUCCACGGUACAAGGAUGUCAUUGAGAAUUAUGGCAUGGGCUGUCUUCUUAGUUUCGUUAGGACUGAGGUCCCUCUUAGGCUUGUCAAGUGA